Molecule: non-coding RNA, 1971 nt
Organism: Malus domestica (apple)
Lineage: Eukaryota; Viridiplantae; Streptophyta; Magnoliopsida; Rosales; Rosaceae
Source: RefSeq, a predicted model, not a curated record
UAUAUAAAUCCUUUCCUCUGUUCUCCGGUGAACCCAUUCCAAUCACUCUCUUCUCAGGCGAGCGCGCCCCCAAACCCUCUCCUCAUCGGUGGACUUAUCCUCUCCUCUGUUCUCCGGUGAACCCACUCCAAUCCCUCUCUUCUCUAGCGAGCCCACCCCCAAACCCUCUCCUCAUCGGCGAGCUCACCCCAAUCCCUUCCAUCAACCCCAAGUCCACCCAUCCCUCCUCCGGCGACCUCAACUACCCCAACCCCUCUGUUCGCCGGCGAGUCCAACGUCCCUCCGUUCGACGGCGACCUCACCUAGUCCUCGAAAUAAUUUAGUGGGCUAAGGAAGUUUCUUGGCCGUAGGAUCGAUUUUGAAGGGCUGUGAUUAAUGGAUCCCUAGGCUCCAAAAAUCUGCAGAAAUCUGCAGAAAUCUGCAGAAAAUCUGCAGAAACGUUUGAUUCGGUUAAUUUGAAGGAGAGAGCAGAGGGCAGCAAUGACGAAGGAGUCCAAAGGCAAGUGUGAGGCUGCUUCUCACAAGCUACUGAAGGAAAAAGCAAAGACUCGAGUUCAAAAGCUUCGAGGGAUGUUCACCAAUAUUCAAAUUGCCAGGAAGGAGGGUCGGACUGCCGACAUGGCUAUCUUCGAGGACCAAAUGGAUCAGAUGCUUGGCGGGUGGAUUGCCGAGCUCAAUGACCCGUCCAUUGCAUCUUCUUUGCAUGGUGGUAGCCAUGGAAGACUUGAAUCAUUUUCUGAUGAUUUAGCCCGGUUCUCCAAACAACAAUGUGAUGAGAAAGAUGAUGCAGAAAGUCCAUUGAAGGAUUUGCCACAACCUAACCUUGAAGGCCCAGAACCUGAGGACUUUAUCGUUUCUUUUAAGGGACCUCCAGAAGAUAUUUUUCAGGACCUUGAAUUUCCUGAUGUUGUGCCAGAUGUUAUGCCGGAUAUAUGUCCUCCAGCAUCUGCUUUCAAGAGGCCAAAAUGUGCUCUUUGGGAAUGUUCCAGGCCUGUCCAUGUUUUGUGUCAGGACUUUUGCAGUAGUGGCCAUGCCCAUUUAGCAAGAAAUGAAGGUCUUCCUGGGAAAACUCCGGUUCUGCGACCUUGGGGCAUCGCUUUGAAGGAUGGUUCACUUUUUUGCCGCGCUUAAUGAUAAGACACAGGGGAAGGAUGUCGGAAUCCCUGAUUGUGAUGGGGCUGCUACUCUAAGAUCUCCAUGGGAUGAUCCGGAGCUAUUUGAUCUGUUUUUGCACGAGGGUGAAACGCCUAGGGAGUGGCUCUUUUUUGGCAGGCCUAGAAGAGCCUUUGAGAGUGGAAAUCGGAAGCGGAGGUUACUGCAAAACUACAGAGGGCGUUGGCAUGUAUCAAGAACGCAGGAAAUGAUGGAAUAUGGGGGGCAGAAAAGGUCCUAUUAUAUGGAUCCACAGCCUUCAAGCGAUCGCGAGUGGCAUUUGUUUGAGUAUGAGGUCAACAACUCAGACGCCUGUGCACUAUAUAGGUUGGAGCUGAAGUUUGGCACGGCAAAGAAAAGUUCCAAAGGAAAACAAUCAAAUGAUCCGGUGGGAAGGCUCACUGCUGAGGCUUCUACAGAAGUUGGAAACAAUAGCAAGGGAACAACUAGCAAAAACGCUGAAGCUGGAAAUAUUUUUGGCUCGGAUAAUCAGACAAACUCCUUGUACCUAAACCCCGAGAUGAGUUGGAAAUGUUAGUUAGGUUAGCUUUGCUCUAUAAGUAGUCUAUAAGUAGAACCAAAACCUUUAGUUUUGUGACCACUUAGUCAUAUCACCCCUAAUAUGACUGGCGAUUGUGGCGCUUGGUUGUGAAUACUUACUUGCCCGCAUGUAAAACGAGUCUAACAGUGAAGUGGUCACGUUGCUGGGAGUUUAGUGACUUUUUGUUUGGGUCAUUCGCCAGCGAUGGCGUUAUUCUACCUAAACCCUACCAUUCAACAACUUGAUUCAUUUAGGACCGUUCAUUUCGUUGGUCUUCA